Molecule: long non-coding RNA, 272 nt
Filed under: Setaria italica (foxtail millet)
Lineage: Eukaryota; Viridiplantae; Streptophyta; Magnoliopsida; Poales; Poaceae
Description: long non-coding RNA (SITA_LNC001153)
Source: RNAcentral
AAGGCAAGGCGGUCCCCAAAUUCCAGCAGCAGCAGUAGCUAAGCAAAGCAAUGGCGCUCUCCUGCGGCUUACUCGCCGGCGCCCGGGCGGCAGCCUUCCCUUCCCUCCCCUCCUCCGCCGCUCUCCUCCGGCGCCGACGCUGCCCGCCAGCAGUUGCCGUGGGUCCACUCCCGCACGCCGAGCGAUGGCGCCGCGGCCUCCGCUUCUGCUGCGCUUCGUCCUCGUCAUCAUCGCCUCCGCUGCCGCCGGCGCCGCCCGAGGAGCCCGAAGAC